UGUGUAGGCGGGAUAGCAAGUCAGAGGUGAAAUCCUACAGCUCAACUGUAGAACUGCCUUUGAUACUGUUAUUCUUGAGUAUCGGAGAGGUCGCUGGAAUUCGUGGUGUAGCGGUGAAAUGCGUAGAUAUCACGAGGAACACCGGAGGCGUAGGCGGGCGACUGGACGAUUACUGACGCUGAGGCACGAAAGCGUGGGGAGCAAACAGGAUUAGAUACCCUGGUAGUCC
This 229-nucleotide ribosomal RNA is filed under the name uncultured bacterium. RNAcentral describes it as "partial 16S ribosomal RNA". It matches the Rfam family "Bacterial small subunit ribosomal RNA", at positions 568 to 796 of the family's 1533-position model. The record is from RNAcentral.